CCUCAGAGUCUACUUUCUUAAAACUAUAAAAAGUCUGAAAUUGUCACAACAUGAAAUAAAUAAUUUCAGAUUUGUUUUUAAUACAGUGCCAUAAAAAUUAAAAAUAUUGUUGCAGCAAAUGUACUAAGUCUAAUUGCAUUAGGAUUUGUUUUCCUUCUUUUCACUCACAUAAGAAAAUAUUAUUUUCACCACUUAAAGUAACUUCAUUCUUAUUCUAUAAAAUUUCCUCUACUAUGUAAGUCACCCAAAUAUACCAAAAAAGUGGGCUCACAACAAUAUUAAAGACAUCAAGGUACGAAUAAUAUCACAGCUUCUUUCAAAGAAAAAAAUGCUACAUUUUCUUGAUUUUGAUGCUCUGUCAAGAGGCCAGUCCAUUUCUGCUCUUGAAGAGCUGAUGAAGUCCACAGCCCAGAGCAAUUGUCUUGGUUUCACAUUUGGGCCAUAUUUCCCUGCCCUGCUGCCUGGCAGCAGAUGCCACACAGCUGGGACAGACCUGUGCCCCGGAGCUCAGGACAGCAUUCAGAUGAGCAGGUCCACAGGGUGCAGAGAGAGAGGAGACCCCACCAGCCCUGCUGCUGUCACCUGCCUGGUCCUUGGCGGCCCUGCCGGCAGCUGCUCCCUUUGCAAAGUUUAACCCAGAAACACGGGCUGUGUGUCCUCGUGCUGUGACUGUGUCCAUCCCUUCCAGGUUCCAUUCGCAUGGCCACCUCCACCAUCAGGAUGCGGUGCAGCCCCUUCCCCUUCUCUCAUACUGUCCCAGUGUCCUCUCCCUGCCUGCCCUCUGCCCUGGGCCUCUCCCUGCUCGCCUGAGCUCCCGCACACAGGUCAGGGAGUGGAGCUCACAGCAGGGACCUGGAGACCAGCCUCGCUCACACAGCACAGCGCCUCUCUGCUGCAGCCCUGUUCCCUGGGUCACCGCGCAUAGUCCUCCCAGAGCCAGCGCAACUGUCCGUGUCCACUGUGGACUCCUGUGUGCUGUUUUUGCGUGUGAGAAAUGUGAAGGAGGCUGCUGGGAGUGUUUAUGCUCAGCUUUGUGUAUGGACCUGUUAUUUCUCUUUCCCGGAACCUGAGAUAAGGGAGUGUUGAUAGGAAAUGGCGAACUUUUCUCAAUAAGCACUGGAUGAGUCUUCUUUUUAGCACUGCAUGAUAUUAGUAUUUGCUCCAAUCCCCACCAGCAUGUGAAAUUUGUUAUCAAUUUCCCUUUUCUGUUUUUGGCCUCAUGAUUGUGCAAUGUUUUCCCAUAAGGUUAUGCUGGAGAUUCCUAAGGACUGACAGUGUGAAAAUCUUAUAAACAUUAAAUGAAUCAUUUUUUAUUUCAGUUCAGAAAAACAGUCCCAGAACUGAGAAGAGUUCAGUGCCUGUGCUUUCAGUUUUCUGGAAAAGUUGACCAUGUUUCCAUGUGCAUGUUGCUCGUGCGCACAUCUUCCUCAGAAGGAUGUGCCUUUAAAUCAAAUGCCUAGUUUUGGACGAUGCAGGGUGGUGAACCUAGAGCCUCAUACCUGCUCCUCCAGUGCCCUACCACUGAGCUAAACCCAGCCUUUGCUCUGUUUAUAAAGAUUGUGUACUGGGCUUGGGAUUCAGCGCAGUGGUUCUGGCGGCUGCAGCGUAAGCACAAGGUACCAAGUUCAAUUCCCAGUACCAAAAAAAAAAAAAGAUUGUGUACUUGCUUCUCUAGUCACUGUUGCUGUUCAGUGGGAAGUUAUUUAGAUACUGUCGAUGUUUAUGCCUAUAAUUUAUAAAAAUACUUCUCCAAGUCCAUGGAGUGUCCUUUCCCUCUAUUGAAAGUGUUCCUUGGGGAGUUUAUUUUUUAAAUUGACAAAGUAUUAUGUAUCUAUUUUUAUACCUGUGCUUUUGGUGUCUUACCCAUUAGGUUUUUGCUAAAAUCUA
Heterocephalus glaber (naked mole-rat) is the source of this 1887-nucleotide long non-coding RNA. NCBI's taxonomy places the organism in Eukaryota, Metazoa, Chordata, Mammalia, Rodentia, Bathyergidae. The record is from Ensembl.